CCCUUUCCUGUGGCCCUCCAUAAGUAUACUUUAUAUGCUAAAUCAAUGGUAAAUUAAUAGAAUCAAGUUGGAGACUCAAUAAUUCUGCUGGGAGAGAUGGAGAAGUUACAUUUUCUAACCAGAACUGUUCAUCUCUCUCACUACUCAUCCUCCCCAGAGAUUAAACACACACAAAAAGUGGGACACUGAUCUCUGUUCUUCCUUUCCAGGGAAAGGAGACACAAGAGGAAUGGAAUAAUGGAACGCACAAUCUGAGGUCACUUCUGGAGAAGAUUCGUACAUGUAAGGAUACAGAAAAGAGAUGUAGACAUCACAGGACAAUCACUUCAUGGCAAGAGUUGAGUCCAGGCUCUGUGUGAAGAGUCCGAUGGAGGCGUGCCUGGGUGG
This 387-nucleotide long non-coding RNA is filed under the name Felis catus (domestic cat). Its description in RNAcentral is "lncRNA (ENSFCAG00000046950.1)". Lineage: Eukaryota; Metazoa; Chordata; Mammalia; Carnivora; Felidae. The record is from RNAcentral.